GUCCUCUUGUGUCUAUUUGAGGUCUGACCUGCCCAGUGAUAUAUUUAACGGCCGCGGUAUAUUGACCGUGCAAAGGUAGCAUAAUCAUUAGUCUUUUAAUAGAAGACUGGAAUGAAAGGUUUCACGAGCCAUUGACUGUCUCAUUUUUAUAUAUUUAUAACUUAAUUUUUAAGUUAGAAAGCUUAAAUUUUAUUGAAGGACGAGAAGACCCUAUAGAGCUUUACAUUUUAAUUUUUAAUAUUUUCUUGUAAAUAAAUAUUUAUUAAAAAUAAAUUGUUUUGUUGGGGUGAUAAAAUUAUUUAAUAAACUUUUUUAUUUUAUAAACAAUUAUUUUUGAUUAUUUGAUCCAUUAUUAAUGAUUAAUAGAUUAAGUUACCUUAGGGAUAACAGCGUAAUCUUCUUUAGAAGUUCAAAUUUGCAAGAAGGCUUGCGACCUCGAUGUUGGAUUAAGAUAAUAAUUUGGUGUAGUAGUUAAAUUAAUAGGUCUGUUCGACCUUUAAAAUCUUACAUGAUCUGAGUUCAGACCGG
This 528-nucleotide ribosomal RNA is filed under the name Coeliccia poungyi. RNAcentral describes it as "partial 16S ribosomal RNA". It matches the Rfam family "Bacterial large subunit ribosomal RNA", at positions 1829 to 2619 of the family's 2925-position model. The record is from RNAcentral. Lineage: Eukaryota; Metazoa; Arthropoda; Insecta; Odonata; Platycnemididae.